This 152-nucleotide ribosomal RNA is filed under the name Burkholderia pseudomallei. RNAcentral describes it as "partial 16S ribosomal RNA". It matches the Rfam family "Bacterial small subunit ribosomal RNA", at positions 1 to 149 of the family's 1533-position model. Lineage: Bacteria; Pseudomonadati; Pseudomonadota; Betaproteobacteria; Burkholderiales; Burkholderiaceae. The record is from RNAcentral.
AUUGAACUGAAGAGUUUGAUCCUGGCUCAGAUUGAACGCUGGCGGCAUGCCUUACACAUGCAAGUCGAACGGCAGCACGGGCUUCGGCCUGGUGGCGAGUGGCGAACGGGUGAGUAAUACAUCGGAACAUGUCCUGUAGUGGGGGAUAGCCC